This 791-nucleotide ribosomal RNA is filed under the name Streptomyces sp. RNAcentral describes it as "bacterial SSU rRNA". It matches the Rfam family "Bacterial small subunit ribosomal RNA", at positions 72 to 877 of the family's 1533-position model. Lineage: Bacteria; Bacillati; Actinomycetota; Actinomycetes; Kitasatosporales; Streptomycetaceae. The record is from RNAcentral.
AACCACUUCGGUGGGGAUUAGUGGCGAACGGGUGAGUAACACGUGGGCAAUCUGCCCUUCACUCUGGGACAAGCCCUGGAAACGGGGUCUAAUACCGGAUACAACCGCUGACCGCAUGGUCGGGCGGUGGAAAGCUCCGGCGGUGAAGGAUGAGCCCGCGGCCUAUCAGCUUGUUGGUGAGGUAAUGGCUCACCAAGGCGACGACGGGUAGCCGGCCUGAGAGGGCGACCGGCCACACUGGGACUGAGACACGGCCCAGACUCCUACGGGAGGCAGCAGUGGGGAAUAUUGCACAAUGGGCGAAAGCCUGAUGCAGCGACGCCGCGUGAGGGAUGACGGCCUUCGGGUUGUAAACCUCUUUCAGCAGGGAAGAAGCGAAAGUGACGGUACCUGCAGAAGAAGCGCCGGCUAACUACGUGCCAGCAGCCGCGGUAAUACGUAGGGCGCAAGCGUUGUCCGGAAUUAUUGGGCGUAAAGAGCUCGUAGGCGGCUUGUCACGUCGGUUGUGAAAGCCCGAGGCUUAACCUCGGGUCUGCAGUCGAUACGGGCAGGCUAGAGUGUGGUAGGGGAGAUCGGAAUUCCUGGUGUAGCGGUGAAAUGCGCAGAUAUCAGGAGGAACACCGGUGGCGAAGGCGGAUCUCUGGGCCAUUACUGACGCUGAGGAGCGAAAGCGUGGGGAGCGAACAGGAUUAGAUACCCUGGUAGUCCACGCCGUAAACGGUGGGAACUAGGUGUUGGCGACAUUCCACGUCGUCGGUGCCGCAGCUAACGCAUUAAGUUCCCCGCCUGGG